This 295-nucleotide non-coding RNA is filed under the name Terrisporobacter sp. RNAcentral's name for it is "T-box sequence". It matches the Rfam family "T-box leader". From Rfam's summary of the family: Uncharged tRNA acts as the effector for transcription antitermination of genes in the T-box leader family. T-boxes are found upstream of many aminoacyl-tRNA synthetase genes and some amino acid biosynthetic genes usually in Gram-positive bacteria. Lineage: Bacteria; Bacillati; Bacillota; Clostridia; Peptostreptococcales; Peptostreptococcaceae. The record is from RNAcentral.
GAAAAUUCUAGGAAAAAGAAAGUAGCCUAAAUAGAGUUUCAGCGAGUUAGGGUAUGGUGUGAGCCUAAUAAUAAAGUUUAGUGUGAAGAGAGCUUUGGAGAAGAUUAUCAGAACCUAAGUAUGAUAAUAGGUAGCGCCUGCCUUAAGGGUUUGAGAGGAUAGAGCUCAACUCAAGUAAUGAGAAUUUUGUUUAGCAACGGAUUUGUCUGAAAUAAUAGCAAAGACAUAUCGUUGGCGAAACGAGCGGAGUGAGUUUUAUCAACAAGAGUGGUAACGCGGUUAAUUCGUCUCUUAG